AGGAAUCUGCCUGGUAGUGGGGGAUAACGUUCGGAAACGGACGCUAAUACCGCAUACGUCCCACGGGAGAAAGCAGGGGACCUUCGGGCCUUGCGCUAUCAGAUGAGCCUAGGUCGGAUUAGCUAGUUGGUGAGGUAAUGGUUCACCAAGGCGACGAUCCGUAACUGGUCUGAGAGGAUGAUCAGUCACACUGGAACUGAGACACGGUCCAGACUCCUACGGGAGGCAGCAGUGGGGAAUAUUGGACAAUGGGCGAAAGCCUGAUCCAGCCAUGCCGCGUGUGUGAAGAAGGUCUUCGGAUUGUAAAGCACUUUAAGUUGGGAGGAAGGGCAUUAACCUAAUACGUUAGUGUUUUGACGUUACCGACAGAAUAAGCACCGGCUAACUCUGUGCCAGCAGCCGCGGUAAUACAGA
RNAcentral lists this ribosomal RNA (414 nucleotides) under uncultured Pseudomonas sp. Its description in RNAcentral is "bacterial SSU rRNA". It matches the Rfam family "Bacterial small subunit ribosomal RNA", at positions 119 to 529 of the family's 1533-position model. The record is from RNAcentral. Lineage: Bacteria; Pseudomonadati; Pseudomonadota; Gammaproteobacteria; Pseudomonadales; Pseudomonadaceae.